CGCAGCCCAGUCAAAUUCGGUCCCCGACCCCCCGUGUUGGGGACCGGCCACCGGCUGCCACAGCAACCCCCCCCCGUGUCCCCG
This is a small nucleolar RNA of Oenanthe melanoleuca, 84 nucleotides long. RefSeq annotates it as small nucleolar RNA SNORA5. Lineage: Eukaryota; Metazoa; Chordata; Aves; Passeriformes; Muscicapidae. The transcript has a single exon. The record is from RefSeq and is a predicted model, not a curated record.